CAGUGCAGAGUAGCUAUGUAUGGAUAGGAUAAACGCUGAAAGCAUCUAAGCGUGAAACCUGCUUCAAGAUGAGUUUACUUUUAAGGGCCGUCGGAGACUACGACGUUGAUAGGUUACAGGUGUAAGGGUGGUAACAUCGCAGCCGAGUAAUACUAAUUGCCCGUAAGCUUUAAUUUU
Non-coding RNA from Chitinophaga ginsengisegetis, 177 nucleotides. NCBI's taxonomy places the organism in Bacteria, Pseudomonadati, Bacteroidota, Chitinophagia, Chitinophagales, Chitinophagaceae. The record is from Rfam.